RNAcentral lists this non-coding RNA (116 nucleotides) under marine eukaryotic metagenome. RNAcentral describes it as "FMN riboswitch (RFN element)". It matches the Rfam family "FMN riboswitch aptamer (RFN element)". From Rfam's summary of the family: The RFN element is a highly conserved domain that is found frequently in the 5'-untranslated regions of prokaryotic mRNAs that encode for flavin mononucleotide (FMN) biosynthesis and transport proteins. This element is a metabolite-dependent riboswitch that directly binds FMN in the absence of proteins. The record is from RNAcentral.
AAUCUUCGGGGCGAGGUGUAAUUCCUCGACCGGCGGUAAUAGCCCGCGAACCUUUGUAACUAUUGGUUGAAUCUGUGAAAUUCAGAUGCCGACGGUAUAGUCCGGAUGGUAGAAGA